ACAACGAACGCGCUCCUUUAAAGCUCSUCUAAAAACAGACACAUGUAAAAUCGCUUCUAUUUAGUUGAUUUMACUUUAAAACAGGUCACUGGACGCUGCGAGGUCGGAAACAGACAGGGACGCAAACCAAUGACUUGUCAAUUUAUCUUCUAACUUUUAAUGAUUAAAGACACAGCGGCGAUGGAUAAACAGCUGUCAGUCAUAAUGACAGAAAUCACGGAUUUACAGCAGACUUUUUACACGACAGUAUAAGUGGGAAGAUCAUUGGAGUUAAGUAACUUGAUGGCCAAUAGGAGAGUACACUGGUAAAAGCCAUGAAGCAAAUCAACAUGGACCACCUACAGCAUCUUAGAGAAGUUUCUGGAAGAGGUCCGAUUCCAGCUGGCCAAGCUCACGGGAAUGAAAUGAUCUUCUGCUGCAGUUUUGGUGCCAAAUCACAUUAACUGGAUUUUACCGUUCCUGGACUUCAUCACGGAGGAAUUUUGUGCUUGGGUGAUAAAUUUAGAGAGUGUGUAAUUAAUCCGGGCAUUGUUUUGGAUGCUUGGAUUUAAACUGCUUUUACCAAUAAGUGUCUGUUCUGAUAACGAGCGCUUCCCCCAGUGAGAAGUCUUAAUUUAUUCUAACUCUUGUGAGAUUAAACCAAUGCUUUAAAAAUCA
Molecule: long non-coding RNA, 657 nt
Organism: Poecilia reticulata (guppy)
Lineage: Eukaryota; Metazoa; Chordata; Actinopteri; Cyprinodontiformes; Poeciliidae
Source: RefSeq, a predicted model, not a curated record